CGGCUGUAGCCAAAUCCAACGGCUGAGAAGUUAACUGGCCGCUUAUUGUGAGACAAUCUUUCCCGUCGAUAAAUCUGCUUACCGAACUUCUCACAUUU
Morus notabilis is the source of this 98-nucleotide non-coding RNA. NCBI's taxonomy places the organism in Eukaryota, Viridiplantae, Streptophyta, Magnoliopsida, Rosales, Moraceae. The record is from Rfam.